UUCAGAAUGAAAAUCAAACAAUCCAUAAAUUUUGGUUUAUAUGUAUAUAAUUAACGAUCCAUAAUUUUUUUGGUCUAUGUCCGACUACUGUACAAGACAAUGGUUGGUCCGCACCUGUUCACUCUCAGGCCUUGUUUAGUUACCAAAAAUUUUUGCAAAAUUUUUCAGAUUCCCCGUCACAUCGAAUCUUUAGACACAUGCAUGAAGUGUUAAAUAUAGACAAAAAUAAAAACUAAUUAUACAGUUUGGUCGAAAUUGACGAGACGAAUUUUUUGAGCCUAGUUAGUCCAUGAUUGGAUAAUAUUUGUUAAAUACAAACAAAAAGCUACAGUGUCAUUUUGUAAAAUAUUUUAGAACUAAACAAGGCCUCACAUCGUUACUGUAGCAAGUACUACCGUUCUGCCUGCGCUGUUCGUGACGCUGACCGAUACUGUUCCGACAAUGUUUACUGUAGACAACACUAUUCGUCCGGUUUUUUUU
RNAcentral lists this long non-coding RNA (480 nucleotides) under Sorghum bicolor (sorghum). RNAcentral's name for it is "long non-coding RNA (SBIC_LNC016684)". Lineage: Eukaryota; Viridiplantae; Streptophyta; Magnoliopsida; Poales; Poaceae. The record is from RNAcentral.